RNAcentral lists this ribosomal RNA (433 nucleotides) under uncultured bacterium. RNAcentral describes it as "partial 16S ribosomal RNA". It matches the Rfam family "Bacterial small subunit ribosomal RNA", at positions 29 to 507 of the family's 1533-position model. The record is from RNAcentral.
AACGAACGCUGGCGGCAUGCCUAACACAUGCAAGUCGAACGAGACCUUCGGGUCUAGUGGCGCACGGGUGCGUAACGCGUGGGAACCUGCCCUUAGGUUCGGAAUAACUCCCCGAAAGGGGUGCUAAUACCGGAUAAUGUCUUCGGACCAAAGAUUUAUCGCCUUUGGAUGGGCCCGCGUUGGAUUAGCUAGUUGGUAGGGUAAAAGCCUACCAAGGCGACGAUCCCUAGCUGGUCUGAGAGGAUGCUCAGCCACACUGGGACUGAGACACGGCCCAGACUCCUACGGGAGGCAGCAGUGGGUAAUAUUGGACAAUGGGCGAAAGCCUGAUCCAGCAAUGCCGCGUGAGUGAUGAAGGCCUUAGGGUUGUAAAGCUCUUUUACCCGGGAUGAUAAUGACAGUACCGGGAGAAUAAGCUCCGGCUAACUCCGUG